This is a long non-coding RNA of Bubalus bubalis (water buffalo), 482 nucleotides long. RefSeq lists it as uncharacterized. The transcript is spliced from 3 exons. The record is from RefSeq and is a predicted model, not a curated record. NCBI's taxonomy places the organism in Eukaryota, Metazoa, Chordata, Mammalia, Artiodactyla, Bovidae.
UUGGAGAAAACAUCACUUUAAGGGUUGAGAUAAGGUAUUCAUGGUUAGAUCUGAAAAACAAAGACAAGCAGUAAUAAAAACUGGGUUCAUUUGACCUCUAAUCUGACCUCUUGAGAUCAGAGAAUCAUUUGGAAAAAGUCGCCCUUUGGUCUUUUCCAGAGGCCCAGAGGGAAAAUAGUGUUUGCAUCCCUAAGCUGGAGAAGACAUGAUAUUUGUUUCCUAAGUCUGAAUCAGGAUUCGGUGCUUUAAUACUCUGCGGUCUUGUCUGGUGACAGAGCUUCAGUCUUCAUCAUCAACAAUCCAAGAAUUAGUUCAACUUUCACAAGCAACCUGCCUCUCAGAAACCCCAUCUAGGUCUUUGCCAUUAUAAUCUUUAAUUAGAGACCCAUGUGAUGUGAUUAAAAUUUUAUUUUAUAUAUCUUAUUCCAUAAGUCAGUCUUAAGAUUUUUAUUAAAUAUAAUUUAAUAAAAUUGUGUUAAACC